CACGUAGGGGGCGAGCGUUGUCCGGAAUCAUUGGGCGUAAAGAGCUCGUAGGCGGCUUGCCAAGUCGGGGGUGAAAUCCGGCAGCUUAACUGUCGAAGUGCCUUCGAUACUGGCAAGCUCGAGGGAGGUAGGGGUCUGUGGAACUUCUGGUGGAGCGGUGAAAUGCGUAGAUAUCGGGAGGAACACCUGUGGCGAAAGCGGCUCACUGGACCACAACUGACGCUGAGGCGCGAAAGCUAGGGGAGCAAACAGG
Molecule: ribosomal RNA, 253 nt
Filed under: uncultured bacterium
Lineage: Bacteria
Description: partial 16S ribosomal RNA
Rfam family: Bacterial small subunit ribosomal RNA
Source: RNAcentral